GCCCCCAUAGUUCAACGGACAGAACAGUGGCCUUCUAAGCCGCGGAUUGAGGUUCGAUUCCUCAUGGGGGCA
This 72-nucleotide transfer RNA is filed under the name bacterium. Its description in RNAcentral is "tRNA-Arg". It matches the Rfam family "tRNA". Rfam says of the family: Transfer RNA (tRNA) molecules are approximately 80 nucleotides in length. Their secondary structure includes four short double-helical elements and three loops (D, anti-codon, and T loops). Further hydrogen bonds mediate the characteristic L-shaped molecular structure. tRNAs have two regions of fundamental functional importance: the anti-codon, which is responsible for specific mRNA codon recognition, and the 3' end, to which the tRNAs corresponding amino acid is attached (by aminoacyl-tRNA synthetases). tRNAs cope with the degeneracy of the genetic code in two manners: having more than one tRNA (with a specific anti-codon) for a particular amino acid; and 'wobble' base-pairing, i.e. permitting non-standard base-pairing at the 3rd anti-codon position. The record is from RNAcentral. RNAcentral also lists the same sequence under 1 other name.